This is a non-coding RNA of Pelobates cultripes (western spadefoot toad), 407 nucleotides long. The record is from the annotation of a GenBank genome assembly. Lineage: Eukaryota; Metazoa; Chordata; Amphibia; Anura; Pelobatidae.
AGGGGACAGUUGUGCUUUAAUGGAAUAGUCCUGGUGAAUUUCACAGAUUUCCUAAGUGAUUCUUAGAACCUUUUGAACUUUGGCACAAUUUCCUUUAACAUAUAAGACCUUCAAUUUGAAAAAAACAUUUUGCUGCUACGGUGUCUGAUAGUAUGGAAGUUCUCAGCUCACCUAAGUAACUGGCUAGAUUCAUAGAACACUACAGCAUUGCUGUGGUAAUUACAAAGUACUUGCACUACAACACAUUACGCUGUACUUAAAGCUUAAAGAAACCACUAUAGUCACCUAAAUUACUUUAGCUAAAUAAAGCAGUUUUAGUGUAUAGAUCAUUCCCCUGCAAUUUCACUGCUCAAUUCACUGUCAUUUAGGAGUUAAAUCACUUUGUUUCUGUUUAUGCAGCCCUAGCC